RNAcentral lists this ribosomal RNA (387 nucleotides) under Ceratias holboelli (Kroyer's deep sea angler fish). RNAcentral describes it as "partial 16S ribosomal RNA". It matches the Rfam family "Bacterial large subunit ribosomal RNA", at positions 1963 to 2502 of the family's 2925-position model. The record is from RNAcentral. Lineage: Eukaryota; Metazoa; Chordata; Actinopteri; Lophiiformes; Ceratiidae.
AAUCACUUGUCCUUUAAAUGGGGACCUGUAUGAAUGGCACGACGAGGGCUUAGCUGUCUCCNCCAACCAGUCAAUGAAAUUGAUCUCCCCGUGCAGAAGCGGGGGUAANAACAUAAGACGAGAAGACCCUAUGGAGCUUUAGACGCCAGGGCAGACCAUGUCAAGCACCCUCACCCCCAGGAGUAAACCAAGUGUACCCCCUGCUCAAGUGUCUUCGGUUGGGGCGACCACGGGGCAAUAAAAAACCCCCACGCGGACGGACACACCCCCCUUAAACAAAGAGUUCCCACUCUAAUUAACAGAAUUUCUGACCAUAAAGAUCCGGCAACGCCGAUCAACGGACCGAGUUACCCUAGGGAUAACAGCGCAAUCCCCUUCAAGAGACCA